UAAGGUCACGGCGAGACGAGCCGUUUAUCAUUAUGAUAGGUGCCAAGUGGAAGUGCAGUGAUGUAUGCAGCUGAGGCAUCCUAACAGACCGAGAGAUUUGAAC
This 103-nucleotide ribosomal RNA is filed under the name Ruppia brevipedunculata. RNAcentral describes it as "4.5S ribosomal RNA". The record is from RNAcentral. Lineage: Eukaryota; Viridiplantae; Streptophyta; Magnoliopsida; Alismatales; Cymodoceaceae. RNAcentral also lists the same sequence under 2 other names.